UUGUAGAUUGUUAAGGGCGCACGGUGGAUGCCUUGGCAUUAGGAGCCGAUGAAGGACGUGGUAAUCUGCGAUAAGCCUCGGGGAGUUGAUAAACGAGCUGUGAUCCGAGGAUGUCCGAAUGGGGAAACCCCGUCAUCUGUGAGGGUGGCGACCUGCAUCUGAAUUCAUAGGGUGUAGGGGGGAACGCGGGGAAGUGAAACAUCUCAGUACCCGCAGGAAGAGAAAACAAUUGUGAUUCCGUGAGUAGUGGCGAGCGAAAGCGGAUGAGGCUAAACCGUUGGUGUGUGAUACCUGGCAGGGGUUGCAUCAGCGGGGUUGUGGGAUGCGUUGUUCUCAGGGCUGUCGACCUGGGUGCGUGAGUGCGGGGUGGUAGUCGAAUCAUCGUUGAGUGGUGUGCCGUAGAGGGUGUGAGUCCCGUAGACGAAACUGCUGUCUGCCGCGUGUGGCGUAUUCCCGAGUAGCACGGGGCUCGUGGAAUCUCGUGUGAAUCUGCCAGGACCACCUGGUAAGCCUGAAUACUACCUAAUGACCGAUAGCGGACCAGUACCGUGAGGGAAAGGUGAAAAGUACCCCGGGAGGGGAGUGAAAGAGUACCUGAAACCGUGUGCUUACAAGCCGUCAGAGCCUUGGCCCUUGUGGGGUGUGGGGUGAUGGCGUGCCUUUUGAAGAAUGAGCCUGCGAGUUAGUGUCAUGUCGCGAGGUUAACCCGUGUGGGGUAGCCGUAGCGAAAGCGAGUCUGAAGAGGGCGUUGCAGUGGCGUGAUCUAGACCCGAAGCGAAGUGAUCUACCCAUGGCCAGGUUGAAGCGCGUGUAAGAGCGUGUGGAGGACCGAACCCACUUCAGUUGAAAAUGGAGGGGAUGAGCUGUGGGUAGGGGUGAAAGGCCAAUCAAACUUCGUGAUAGCUGGUUCUCCCCGAAAUGCAUUUAGGUGCAGCGUUGCGUGUUUCUUCCCGGAGGUAGAGCUACUGGAUGGCUGAUGGGCCCCACAGGGUUACUGACGUCAACCAAACUCCGAAUGCCGGUGAAGUGAGAGCGUGGCAGUGAGACCGUGGGGGAUAAGCUUCAUGGUCGAGAGGGAAACAGCCCAGACCACCGACUAAGGCCCCUAAGCGUGUGCUAAGUGGGAAAGGAUGUGGAGUUGCUUAGACAACCAGGAGGUUGGCUUAGAAGCAGCCAUCCUUGAAAGAGUGCGUAAUAGCUCACUGGUCAAGUGAUUCCGCGCCGACAAUGUAGCGGGGCUCAAGUACACCGCCGAAGUCGUGGCAAUACACGCGUGAUCCUGUAAUGGGGUGUGUGUUGGGUAGGGGAGCGUCGAGCGGGUGGUGAAGUCGCCGGGUAACCGAGUGGUGGAACCCGUUCGAGUGAGAAUGCAGGCAUGAGUAGCGAAUGACGGGUGAGAAACCCGUCCGCCGGAUGAUCAAGGGUUCCAGGGUCAAGCUAAUCUGCCCUGGGUGAGUCGGGACCUAAGGCGAGGCCGACAGGCGUAGUCGAUGGACAACGGGUUGAUAUUCCCGUACCGGCGAAGAACCGCCCAUAUCGAGCUGGGGAUACUAACCACCCCGCGCACCCGUUUCAAUGCGCUGGCCUUUGUGUUGGUGUGUUGUUGUGGUGUGUGGCGUGGGACCUGAUCCGGGGAGGUAAGCGUGUUAACAGGUGUGACGCAGGAAGGUAGCCGAGCCAGGCGAUGGUUGUCCUGGUCUAAGCGUGUAGGGUGACCCAUUGUUAAAUGCGUGGGUCGUGAUGCCUGAGACGUGAUGGGACCCCUUUGGUGGGGGAUUCGGUGAUCCUAUGCUGCCGAGAAAAGCAUCGACGUGAGGUUCUAGCCGCCCGUACCCUAAACCGACACAGGUGAUCAGGUAGAGAAUACUAAGGCGUUCGAGAGAAUCAUGGUUAAGGAACUCGGCAAAAUGCCCCCGUAACUUCGGGAGAAGGGGGGCCCUGAGCGUGAAGCACCCGUGCGGUGUGGAGGCGUGUAGGGGUCGCAGAGACCAGGGGGAAGCGACUGUUUAUCAAAAACACAGGUCCGUGCGAAGUCGUAAGACGAUGUAUACGGACUGACUCCUGCCCGGUGCUGGAAGGUUAAGAGGACUCGUUAGACGUUUGUCGAAGCGGAGAAUUUAAGCCCCAGUAAACGGCGGUGGUAACUAUAACCAUCCUAAGGUAGCGAAAUUCCUUGUCGGGUAAGUUCCGACCUGCACGAAUGGAGUAACGACUUCCCUACUGUCUCAACCAUGAACUCGGCGAAAUUGCAGUACGAGUAAAGAUGCUCGUUACGCGCAGCAGGACGGAAAGACCCCGUGACCUUUACUAUAGUUUGGUAUUGGUGUUUGGUGCGGCUUGUGUAGGAUAGGUGGGAGACUGUGAGACUGGCACGCUAGUGUUGGUGGAGUCGUUGUUGAAAUACCACUCUGGUCGCUCUGGAUGUCUAACUUCGGCCCGUGAUCCGGGUCAGGGACAGUGCCUGAUGGGUAGUUUAACUGGGGCGGUUGCCUCCUAAAGAGUAACGGAGGCGCCCAAAGGUUCCCUCAGCCUGGUUGGCAAUCAGGUGUUGAGUGUAAGUGCACAAGGGAGCUUGACUGUGAGAGUGACGGCUCGAGCAGGGACGAAAGUCGGGACUAGUGAUCCGGCGGUACAUUGUGGAAUGGCCGUCGCUCAACGGAUAAAAGGUACCUCGGGGAUAACAGGCUGAUCUUGCCCAAGAGUCCAUAUCGACGGCAUGGUUUGGCACCUCGAUGUCGGCUCGUCGCAUCCUGGGGCUGGAGUUGGUCCCAAGGGUUGGGCUGUUCGCCCAUUAAAGCGGCACGCGAGCUGGGUUCAGAACGUCGUGAGACAGUUCGGUCCCUAUCCGCUGCGCGCGUUGGAAAUUUGAGAAGGUCUGUCCUUAGUACGAGAGGACCGGGACGGACGAACCUCUGGUGUGUCAGUUGUUCCGCCAGGAGCAUCGCUGAUUGGCUACGUUCGGGAGAGAUAACCGCUGAAAGCAUCUAAGCGGGAAGCUUGCUUCGAGAUGAGAUUUCCAUCCAAUCUUGUUGGUGAAGGUGCCCAGGAGAUGACUGGGUUGAUAGGCCAGAUGUGGAAGCAACGACUGAAGAGUUGUGGAGCUGACUGGUACUAAUACACCGAAGAUCUACACACAACACACA
RNAcentral lists this ribosomal RNA (3143 nucleotides) under Kocuria soli. Its description in RNAcentral is "bacterial LSU rRNA". It matches the Rfam family "Bacterial large subunit ribosomal RNA". Lineage: Bacteria; Bacillati; Actinomycetota; Actinomycetes; Micrococcales; Micrococcaceae. The record is from RNAcentral.